This 900-nucleotide long non-coding RNA is filed under the name Equus caballus (horse). RNAcentral's name for it is "lncRNA (ENSECAG00000029442.3)". Lineage: Eukaryota; Metazoa; Chordata; Mammalia; Perissodactyla; Equidae. The record is from RNAcentral.
CUGGCCGCUCCCUCAGGGUGCAACACUGUGGGGCCCAGCCAGGCCUGCAUUCCUGCCCAGAGGCCGGCUCUCCAUUUAUAGCCCCGGGCAGGCAGGCCUCGGAGCUGAGGACAGAGGACUGGAAAGGGUGGAAGAGAAGGGAGCCCCCUUCCCACCUGCUGCGCAAGGAGCUCCUGACUGUGAAGCCUGGAGGCCGAGGCCUGGCCCAGCACCAGGAUUAAAAGGCAUCAGGUCCCAGGAUGGACACACCUCUCCCCGCUCUUUCCGCAACAGAGACAGGAAGGUGGUAUUGGCAAACUUCUCCCAAAGACGUGGUGGCUCACCCAGGAGAGCAGCCCCGGGCAGGCGGGGUCCCAGGCCUGGAGAGGUCUGUAGAGGUUGGCAGGACCAGGGAUUCCCAAACGCGUCAAGCAGCAGAAGCCUCAUAGAAGAUCAAAGUCCGCUUGGAAGUCUCGUGCGGAAGUGGCAUUGUACCACCAGACCGUGUGUGCGUUUAAAAACAGUGCUUCCCAAUUACCGCAGAAGAUGAACUACGAGGCAGGUUUAAAACUGUCAAAGCAGUUUAGAUUUCUAAGCCACAAGUGAUAAAAUAUUUAAAUGUGUUUGGUAAGUUCGAACAUAGAACAUUUACUUGUUGUAAAGGCACCGUGAUGACAGCCCUGAGGCGGCUUUUAUGAACACAAACACAAAAAGCAAAGUUGUAAUCAUUUAAGUCUCAGCAUCCAAUUUAUUUCUGUGUUACCUUUGCUUGCUCAGGUUUGAGAAGAAUCUGGGUUUGCAAGGAUAAGUGGCUUAAAGAGCUCACCUGGAAAUCUCAGGGUACUCUUAGAUUCAAGAAUUUGAUUCAUUCAUCCACCCAACAAAUAGUUAUUGAGUGUCUAGUAGGUGUCAGGCAUUCUG